AACCUGCCCUGUACUCUGGGAUAAGCCCGGGAAACUGGGUCUAAUACCGGAUAUGACCACCUUGGGCAUCCUUGGUGGUGGAAAGUUCCGGCGGUAUGGGAUGGACCCGCGGCCUAUCAGCUUGUUGGUGGGGUAAUGGCCUACCAAGGCGACGACGGGUAGCCGGCCUGAGAGGGUGACCGGCCACACUGGGACUGAGACACGGCCCAGACUCCUACGGGAGGCAGCAGUGGGGAAUAUUGCACAAUGCGCGAAAGCCUGAUGCAGCGACGCCGCGUGAGGGAUGACGGCCUUCGGGUUGUAAACCUCUUUCAGCAGGGACGAAGCGCAAGUGACGGUACCUGCAGAAGAAGCACCGGCUAACUACGUGCCAGCAGCCGCGGUAAUACGUAGGGUGCGAGCGUUGUCCGGAAUUAUUGGGCGUAAAGAGCUCGUAGGCGGUUUGUCGCGUCGGCCGUGAAAACUUGGGGCUUAACCCCGAGCCUGCGGUCGAUACGGGCAGAACUUGAGUUCGGCAGGGGAGACUGGAAUUCCUGGUGUAGCGGUGAAAUGCGCAGAUAUCAGGAGGAACACCGGUGGCGAAGGCGGGUCUCUGGGCCGAUACUGACGCUGAGGAGCGAAAGCGUGGGGA
RNAcentral lists this ribosomal RNA (631 nucleotides) under Lentzea flava. Its description in RNAcentral is "bacterial SSU rRNA". It matches the Rfam family "Bacterial small subunit ribosomal RNA", at positions 123 to 767 of the family's 1533-position model. The record is from RNAcentral. Lineage: Bacteria; Bacillati; Actinomycetota; Actinomycetes; Pseudonocardiales; Pseudonocardiaceae.